Molecule: transfer RNA, 74 nt
Filed under: Vulcanisaeta sp. JCHS_4
Lineage: Archaea; Thermoproteati; Thermoproteota; Thermoprotei; Thermoproteales; Thermoproteaceae
Description: tRNA-Arg
Rfam family: tRNA
About the family: Transfer RNA (tRNA) molecules are approximately 80 nucleotides in length. Their secondary structure includes four short double-helical elements and three loops (D, anti-codon, and T loops).
Source: RNAcentral
GGCCCCGUAGCUCAGCCAGGAAGAGCGACGGCCUUCGGAGCCGUAGGUCGUGGGUUCAAAUCCCACCGGGGCCG